CGUAGGGUCCGAGCGUUGUCCGGAAUUAUUGGGCGUAAAGGGCUUGUAGGCGGUUCGUCACGUCGGAAGUGAAAACUCAGGGCUUAACCCUGAGCCUGCUUCCGAUACGGGCAAACUAGAGGGAUGCAGGGGAGAACGGAAUUCCUGGUGGAGCGGCGGAAUGCGCAGAUAUCAGGAGGAACACCGGUGGCGAAGGCGGUUCUCUGGGCAUUUCCUGACGCUGAGAAGCGAAAGCGUGGGGAGCAAACAGGCUUAGAUACCCUGGUAGUCCACGCCGUAAACGGUGGGCACUAGGUGUGGGGAACAUUCCACGUUCUCCGUGCCGAAGCUAACGCAUUAAGUGCCCCGCCUGGGGAGUACGGCCGCAAGGCUA
This 373-nucleotide ribosomal RNA is filed under the name uncultured organism. Its description in RNAcentral is "bacterial SSU rRNA". It matches the Rfam family "Bacterial small subunit ribosomal RNA", at positions 526 to 896 of the family's 1533-position model. The record is from RNAcentral.